Molecule: non-coding RNA, 815 nt
Organism: Oryzias latipes (Japanese medaka)
Lineage: Eukaryota; Metazoa; Chordata; Actinopteri; Beloniformes; Adrianichthyidae
Source: RefSeq, a predicted model, not a curated record
CUCUGCAGUCAAACAAAGAGACUUUACACUACUGAGGGUUUAGCUACAAUUAAGCAACUGGGACCCUAAUGAUGUUAGCCAACAAAAAUCCAGCGGAUCAAAAAUCCUCGAUGGAGCCUAAAAAUAGGAGAAACCAAGGAGAUGGAAGAGGAGAUAAAAGGAUCAAGAGAGAGGAAUGAAUGAAUCCGGAGAGACGACAGCUGAACACAUCUGGUUGGGGUUUUCUGUCCAAGAUGUGGAGCCGAUCCACACUCGCUGGUGCGCCAGUCCCAUCAUGCAAGUCUGCACAGGGGAUGCUGUGGGCUUCCGGUCCUUCAACAAAAGGACACAGUGAUGGCUGUCCUCGCCACACCGACAGCGUUGAGACAGAUCAGUGGUGACAACUGUUGUACCGACUGUGAUGAGUCUGUCAUGUUCGGUUUCUGACAACAAAACCCGCCGUGAAGGACGCGGUGAAGCCUCUGACCAACCACAACAUUGAAGAACAACACCUUCCACACAUCACACAUCCUUUGGCUCUGCUUUCCAGGUGAUAUGGAGUCAAGAGAAACACUAAACUGACUUAUUCUAAAGGGAUUACACACUUGUUACUUCAUUCUCUGCAUGCGGUUUGCCAAACUCUAUGGCGUUGAGCAAAGAUUGUUUCAUGGUGACGUUGAUAAGAAACAGAUUUGAGAAAUUGGAACAAAGAAACCCUCUUGGGUUUGUUAAUGAGGCAGCUUUGGCAGAAUCAGUUCAGUUUUAUUGUCCUCUGUGGGGAAAUAUAUCUGAAAAUAACUCUUACUUUUUUAAUAAAAAGACACGAAAUCCAGCCA